This 403-nucleotide ribosomal RNA is filed under the name uncultured bacterium. RNAcentral describes it as "bacterial SSU rRNA". It matches the Rfam family "Bacterial small subunit ribosomal RNA", at positions 30 to 418 of the family's 1533-position model. The record is from RNAcentral.
AGUGAACGCUGGCGGCAGGCCUAACACAUGCAAGUCGAGCGGCAGCGCGUCCGACCACCCUCGGGUGGUCGGAUGGCGGCGAGCGGCGGACGGGUGAGGAAUGCAUCGGAAUCUGCCUCGUUGUGGGGGGAUAACGUAGGGAAACUUACGCUAAUACCGCAUACGACCUACGGGUGAAAGUGGGGGACCUUCGGGCCUCACGCGAUGAGAUGAGCCGAUGCCGGAUUAGCUAGUUGGCGGGGUAAAGGCCCACCAAGGCGACGAUCCGUAGCUGGUCUGAGAGGAUGAUCAGCCACACUGGAACCGAGACACGGUCCAGACUCCUACGGGAGGCAGCAGUGGGGAAUAUUGGACAAUGGGGGCAACCCUGAUCCAGCCAUGCCGCGUGUGUGAAGAAGGCCUU